UACGUAGGGUGCAAGCGUUAAUCGGAAUUACUGGGCGUAAAGCGUGCGCAGGCGGUUUUGUAAGUCUGUCGUGAAAGCCCCGGGCUCAACCUGGGAAUGGCGAUGGAUACUGGCUCGCUAGAGUGCGGUAGAGGAGAGUGGAAUUCCCGGUGUAGCAGUGAAAUGCGUAGAGAUCGGGAGGAACAUCAGUUGCGAAGGCGGCUCUCUGGACCAGCACUGACACUGAGGCACGAAAGCGUGGGGAGCAAACAGG
RNAcentral lists this ribosomal RNA (253 nucleotides) under uncultured bacterium. Its description in RNAcentral is "partial 16S ribosomal RNA". It matches the Rfam family "Bacterial small subunit ribosomal RNA", at positions 524 to 776 of the family's 1533-position model. The record is from RNAcentral.